UAAAAGAUGGAAUUUGCUGUUGAAGUCACAG
Molecule: non-coding RNA, 31 nt
Filed under: Mus musculus (house mouse)
Lineage: Eukaryota; Metazoa; Chordata; Mammalia; Rodentia; Muridae
Source: RNAcentral